UACGUAGGGGGCAAGCGUUGUCCGGAUUUACUGGGCGUAAAGAGCGUGUAGGCGGCCAAGCAGGUCCGUUGUGAAAAUUGGAGGCUUAACCUUCAGACGUCGACGGAAACCGCGCGGCUAGAGUCCGGCAGGGGAGACUGGAAUUCCUGGUGUAGCGGUGAAAUGCGCAGAUAUCAGGAGGAACACCGGUGGCGAAGGCGGGUCUCUGGGCCGGAACUGACGCUGAGGAGCGAAAGCGUGGGGAGCGAACAGG
RNAcentral lists this ribosomal RNA (253 nucleotides) under uncultured bacterium. RNAcentral's name for it is "partial 16S ribosomal RNA". It matches the Rfam family "Bacterial small subunit ribosomal RNA", at positions 524 to 776 of the family's 1533-position model. The record is from RNAcentral.